Molecule: long non-coding RNA, 308 nt
Filed under: Olea europaea subsp. europaea
Lineage: Eukaryota; Viridiplantae; Streptophyta; Magnoliopsida; Lamiales; Oleaceae
Source: RNAcentral
UGUUAUCUGUUGUUCGAUGCCCUAACAUUUGAAUUUUUGCAGGAUGGAGUAUCAUUUAGAUGAGGAGUUGAGACGGAUGGCGGGGAAGGCUACUUGGAACAGUAGCUUUGAGAGUUUUACUGCUGUGUUGGAGCUGCUCGAUGAUCAGCACAGAGAUAUGCUACGAUAGUCCUUCUUAUGGCCACUGUACCAGUUGCGAGAGGUGCAGUACUCAGGACAGAUCAUCGAUGCACUUCUAUGUCGGCUUCUGAGGCCAGUCAACGGCGAUUCCCUCCAGUUCGACCUCGGGGGCAAGGUCGUCAGUUUCU